AUGCAGUGCAGACGGCGGAGAGGCUGCCCUGCGUUUGCAGUCCUGGGAGGGGUGGAGGAGAGCUGCUGCCUUGAUUGUGAGCUGCCCGUUGGUGAUGGAAGCGUUGCAGCAGUGAUGCCACAGAUACCCAGCAGUGACACAGCAACCCAUCGCCAUGGAGAGCUGGGAUGGGGCCGUGCAGAGCGGGGAACUGGGGCAAAGUUGAGAAGACUUACCCCCUCCUCCCGCACUGGGAAACAAACACAGGCAUCUCUGUCCAAAAAUCUGCAGCUCAGGCUCAUCUCUAGCCGAGACAGGAGUGAUGUGAGAUUCCCCAAGCUGCAGCAGGCUGGACACAGCAGAUGGACUCCAGUUAACGAAGGGACCUUCAGGAUAAGCUGUCAGGUUCUAGUGGAAUCCAUCUUCUUCGUGAAGUGCACUGUGAAAGUUAUCAAGUGA
RNAcentral lists this long non-coding RNA (438 nucleotides) under Anser brachyrhynchus (Pink-footed goose). Its description in RNAcentral is "lncRNA (ENSABRG00000012165.1)". The record is from RNAcentral. Lineage: Eukaryota; Metazoa; Chordata; Aves; Anseriformes; Anatidae.